AUAUGUCAGUAGGGUUUACUAGCCUGAGAUGAUUCUCUCUCAGAUCUAGACAAGCCAGGCUUGUCUGCGCCACAGACUAAUUCGCCUCUCUGGUUUCUAGCAAGAUCUUCAGCUUAUACACAGUAGUAGAAGAGACCCUUAGCUAACAUGCCAACCAGACAGCCUACCAAAGAGAAUGAAGAGCUCCCUUUAGUGCUUGUAGGCAAGAAAUUCUGGUUGGAACUAAUGUCUGCAUCAGGAAAACAACACAGCUUUCCUGUAAUAAGCCUCAGAAGAUGUAGCACACAGACACUCUGACCUGCUUAUCACACAGACAGCUGACUUUCAUCUUUCAAGGAGGUUAUGAUGAUCUACCAGAUUACACUCUGGCAUCAAACUGGAAUGUGAAGCUUCACAUCUACAUGGCUUCUAGCAACAUGGGGUUGCAGUGGGAUCACUAGGAAGAAUAAAAGCAUGCAGAAAUAAAAAAGGAGAACUUUCUCCCAGGACUAACUGAAUUUCUUAC
Molecule: non-coding RNA, 505 nt
Organism: Meleagris gallopavo (turkey)
Lineage: Eukaryota; Metazoa; Chordata; Aves; Galliformes; Phasianidae
Source: RefSeq, a predicted model, not a curated record